RNAcentral lists this ribosomal RNA (2704 nucleotides) under Vibrio parahaemolyticus. Its description in RNAcentral is "partial 23S ribosomal RNA". It matches the Rfam family "Bacterial large subunit ribosomal RNA". The record is from RNAcentral. Lineage: Bacteria; Pseudomonadati; Pseudomonadota; Gammaproteobacteria; Vibrionales; Vibrionaceae.
AACUGAAACAUCUAAGUACCCCGAGGAAAAGAAAUCAACCGAGAUUCCGAAAGUAGCGGCGAGCGAAAUUGGACUAGCCCUUAAGCUUUACACGCGUUAGACGAACGGUCUGGAAAGUCCGACGAUACAGGGUGAUAGUCCCGUAGUUGACGACGUGUGUUCAGUGAAAUCGAGUAGGGCGGGACACGUGAUAUCCUGUCUGAAUAUGGGGGGACCAUCCUCCAAGGCUAAAUACUACUGACUGACCGAUAGUGAACCAGUACCGUGAGGGAAAGGCGAAAAGAACCCCUGUGAGGGGAGUGAAAUAGAACCUGAAACCGUGUACGUACAAGCAGUAGGAGCAGGCUUUGUCCUGUGACUGCGUACCUUUUGUAUAAUGGGUCAGCGACUUAUAUUCAGUGGCAAGGUUAACCAUCUAGGGGAGCCGUAGGGAAACCGAGUCUUAACUGGGCGUUCAGUCUCUGGAUAUAGACCCGAAACCAGGUGAUCUAGCCAUGGGCAGGUUGAAGGUUGAGUAACAUCAACUGGAGGACCGAACCGACUAAUGUUGAAAAAUUAGCGGAUGACUUGUGGCUAGGGGUGAAAGGCCAAUCAAACCUGGAGAUAGCUGGUUCUCCCCGAAAGCUAUUUAGGUAGCGCCUCGGACGAAUACUACUGGGGGUAGAGCACUGUUAAGGCUAGGGGGUCAUCCCGACUUACCAACCCUUUGCAAACUCCGAAUACCAGUAAGUACUAUCCGGGAGACACACGGCGGGUGCUAACGUCCGUCGUGGAGAGGGAAACAACCCAGACCGCCAGCUAAGGUCCCAAAUUACUACUAAGUGGGAAACGAUGUGGGAAGGCUCAGACAGCCAGGAUGUUGGCUUAGAAGCAGCCAUCAUUUAAAGAAAGCGUAAUAGCUCACUGGUCGAGUCGGCCUGCGCGGAAGAUGUAACGGGGCUAAGUAGUAAACCGAAGCUGCGGCAAUAUACUUUUGUAUAUUGGGUAGGGGAGCGUUCUGUAAGCGGUUGAAGGUGUGUGGUAACGCAUGCUGGACGUAUCAGAAGUGCGAAUGCUGACAUGAGUAACGAUAAAGGGGGUGAAAAACCUCCUCGCCGGAAGACCAAGGGUUCCUGUCCAACGUUAAUCGGGGCAGGGUAAGUCGACCCCUAAGGCGAGGCCGAAAGGCGUAGUCGAUGGGAAACGGGUUAAUAUUCCCGUACUUCUUACAAUUGCGAUGGGGGGACGGAGAAGGCUAGGUGGGCCUGGCGACGGUUGUCCAGGUUCAAGUGCGUAGGCUUAAGAGUUAGGUAAAUCCGGCUCUUUCUAAGGCUGAGACACGACGUCGAGCACCUACGGGUGUGAAGUCAUUGAUGCCAUGCUUCCAGGAAAAGCCUCUAAGCUUCAGAUUGUAAGGAAUCGUACCCCAAACCGACACAGGUGGUCGGGUAGAGAAUACCAAGGCGCUUGAGAGAACUCGGGUGAAGGAACUAGGCAAAAUGGUACCGUAACUUCGGGAGAAGGUACGCUCUUGAUGGUGAAGUCCCUUGCGGAUGGAGCUGACGAGAGUCGCAGAUACCAGGUGGCUGCAACUGUUUAUUAAAAACACAGCACUGUGCAAAAUCGUAAGAUGACGUAUACGGUGUGACGCCUGCCCGGUGCCGGAAGGUUAAUUGAUGGGGUUAGACUUCGGUCGAAGCUCUUGAUCGAAGCCCCGGUAAACGGCGGCCGUAACUAUAACGGUCCUAAGGUAGCGAAAUUCCUUGUCGGGUAAGUUCCGACCUGCACGAAUGGCGUAAUGAUGGCCACGCUGUCUCCACCCGAGACUCAGUGAAAUUGAAAUCGCUGUGAAGAUGCAGUGUACCCGCGGCUAGACGGAAAGACCCCGUGAACCUUUACUACAGCUUGGCACUGAACAUUGACCCUACAUGUGUAGGAUAGGUGGGAGGCUUUGAAGCACGUACGCCAGUAUGUGUGGAGCCGUCCUUGAAAUACCACCCUUGUAGUGUUGAUGUUCUAACGUCGACCCCUUAUCGGGGUUGCGGACAGUGCCUGGUGGGUAGUUUGACUGGGGCGGUCUCCUCCCAAAGAGUAACGGAGGAGCACGAAGGUGGGCUAAUCACGGUUGGACAUCGUGAGGUUAGUGCAAUGGCAUAAGCCCGCUUGACUGCGAGAAUGACAAUUCGAGCAGGUGCGAAAGCAGGUCAUAGUGAUCCGGUGGUUCUGAAUGGAAGGGCCAUCGCUCAACGGAUAAAAGGUACUCCGGGGAUAACAGGCUGAUACCGCCCAAGAGUUCAUAUCGACGGCGGUGUUUGGCACCUCGAUGUCGGCUCAUCACAUCCUGGGGCUGAAGUCGGUCCCAAGGGUAUGGCUGUUCGCCAUUUAAAGUGGUACGCGAGCUGGGUUUAGAACGUCGUGAGACAGUUCGGUCCCUAUCUGCCGUGGGCGUUGGAAGAUUGAAGGGGGCUGCUCCUAGUACGAGAGGACCGGAGUGGACGAACCUCUGGUGUUCGGGUUGUGUCGCCAGACGCAUUGCCCGGUAGCUAAGUUCGGAAUCGAUAACCGCUGAAAGCAUCUAAGCGGGAAGCGAGCCCUGAGAUGAGUCUUCCCUGAUACUUUAAGUAUCCUAAAGGGUUGUCGGAGACUACGACGUUGAUAGGUCAGGUGUGUAAGUGCUGUGAGGCAUUGAGCUAACUGAUACUAAUUGCCCGUGAGGCUUAACCAU